CUCAGCCAUCGUGACUAUGUAACCAGUAUUGGUCGGUGGCCCAAGGUCUCUCUCCUUUCAGGGUUCAACCUCCAACCUUAUUUCUGCUUCCUUCAUGUUGGAAUUCACACUGUGAGAAUUGUUGUCAUCCUUUCUCUACGACUCCAAGAGAAACUUUAUACUGGAGGAAGAAUAUUCUACCACUUUGGGAUGCUUCCAAAGAAAUGGGAUACCAAAGGAGUGAACUUCAGGUCAUUGGAAGUGGCCAAGCUGGAGGGCGACCUAUGGAGACAUGACCUUCAGUUCUUCCUGAGAUCGAUAAAGCUUAAAAGAAAAGAAAAAGCCAACUCAGCUUGUGCGUGGAUCCUGGACCUUGCUCUAAUACAGACCCCGCUCCUGGAGUUCUCGGCUUGGGUCAUGGAAAAACUGAAGAUGCAUUAGAUCAUCAAAGAAAAUGGCACAAACAACCCUGCAAAAGAAAGGAUCUUCUUCCAGAUUAAAUCUCUUAUAAUAUAACUCCUCUAUU
This 505-nucleotide long non-coding RNA is filed under the name Homo sapiens (human). RNAcentral's name for it is "HSALNT0326970". The record is from RNAcentral. Lineage: Eukaryota; Metazoa; Chordata; Mammalia; Primates; Hominidae.